Molecule: ribosomal RNA, 2153 nt
Filed under: Bacteroides thetaiotaomicron
Lineage: Bacteria; Pseudomonadati; Bacteroidota; Bacteroidia; Bacteroidales; Bacteroidaceae
Description: bacterial LSU rRNA
Rfam family: Bacterial large subunit ribosomal RNA
Source: RNAcentral
UGUGGUGGAUUCGCAGCCGAAGCGAAAGCGAGUCUGAACAGGGCGUCGAGUCGGAAGGAGUAGACGCGAAACCAAGUGAUCUACCCUUGGUCAGGUUGAAGGUUAGGUAACACUAACUGGAGGACCGAACCGAUAAGCGUUGAAAAGCUUCCGGAUGAACUGAGGGUGGGGGUGAAAGGCUAAUCAAACUUGGAGAUAGCUCGUACUCCCCGAAAUGCAUUUAGGUGCAGCCUUGUGAGUUACUAAUGUGAGGUAGAGCGACUGAUAAGAUGCGAGGGCUUCACCGCCUAUCAAGUCUUGAUAAACUCCGAAUGCGCAUUAGUUCUAUCACAGGAGUGAGGGCAUGGGUGCUAAGGUCCAUGUCCUAAAGGAGAAGAAUCCAGACCAUCAGCUAAGGUCCCCAAAUAAACACUAAGUUGAACUAACGAAGUCAGAUUGCUAAGACAGCUAGGAUGUUGGCUUGGAAGCAGCCAUUCAUUUAAAGAGUGCGUAACAGCUCACUAGUCGAGGAGUUUGGCGUGGAUAAUAAUCGGGCAUUAAGUGUUUUACCGAAGCUAUGGGAUCAGUAAUGAUCGGUAGGGGAGCAUUCCACUCUGCGUCGAAGGUGAAGCGUGAGCUUUGCUGGAGCGUGUGGAAAAGCAAAUGUAGGUAUAAGUAACGAUAAAGGGGGUGAGAAACCCCCUCGCCGAAAGACUAAGGUUUCCUGAUCAACGCUAAUCGGAUCAGGGUUAGUCGGGUCCUAAGGCUCAGCCGAACGGUGAGGCCGAUGGCAGAACAGGUUAAUAUUCCUGUACUACCUUAAGGAGUGACGUGGAGACGGAGCAGUGACAGCGCCGCGGACUGACGGAAUAGUCCGUUGAAGGGUGUAGAUGUUGAUCAUCCCAGGCAAAUCCGGGAUGAGAGUCGAACCUGAUAGUAUGGAGCGUUCUUCGGAACAAUCCAAUAGUGCGUGUAAGCAUACUCCCAAGAAAAUCCGCUAAACUUAAUCCUUAAGGUACCCGUACCGCAAACGGACACACGUAGUCGGGUUGAAUAUACUAAGGCGCUUGAGUGAUUCACGGUUAAGGAACUAGGCAAAUUGACCCUGUAACUUCGGGAUAAAGGGUCCCAACGAGAGUUGGGCGCAGAGAAUAGGUCCAGGCAACUGUUUAACAAAAACACAGGGCUGUGCCAAAUUGAAAGAUUACGUAUACAGCCUGACACCUGCCCGGUGCUGGAAGGUUAAGAGGAGAUGUCAUCGCAAGAGAAGCAUUGAAUUGAAGCCCCAGUAAACGGCGGCCGUAACUAUAACGGUCCUAAGGUAGCGAAAUUCCUUGUCGGGUAAGUUCCGACCUGCACGAAUGGUGUAAUGAUCUGGACACUGUCUCAACCGUGAGCUCAGUGAAAUUGUAGUAUCGGUGAAGAUGCCGAUUACCCGCGAUGGGACGAAAAGACCCCGUGAACCUUUACUAUAGCUUAACAUUGAAUUUGGGUAAUUGAUGUGUAGGAUAGGCCGGAGACUUUGAAGCAGGUACGCCAGUAUUUGUGGAGUCGCUGUUGAAAUACGGCCCUUUGAUUAUUUGAGUUCUAACUCGUAGUUGCGAGGACACUGUUUGGUGGGUAGUUUGACUGGGGUGGUCGCCUCCAAAAUAGUAACGGAGGCUUCUAAAGGUGCCCUCAGGACGAUUGGUAACCGUCCGUAGAGUGUAAUGGCAUAAGGGCGCUUGACUGGGAGACUAACAAGUCGAUCAGGUAGGAAACUAGAGCAUAGUGAUCCGGUGUUUCCGUAUGGAAGGGACAUCGCUCAAAGGAUAAAAGGUACUCCGGGGAUAACAGGCUGAUCCCUCCCAAGAGCUCAUAUCGACGGAGGGGUUUGGCACCUCGAUGUCGGCUCGUCACAUCCUGGGGCUGGAGAAGGUCCCAAGGGUUGGGCUGUUCGCCCAUUAAAGUGGCACGCGAGCUGGGUUCAGAACGUCGUGAGACAGUUCGGUCUCUAUCUAUCGUGGGCGUAUGAAAUUUGCGUGGCUCUGACACUAGUACGAGAGGACCGUGUUGGACUGACCGCUGGUUUACCAGUUGUGCCGCCAGGUGCAUUGCUGGGUAUCUAAGUCGGGAUUGGAAUAAGUUGCUGAAAGCAUCUAAGUUACGAAGCCAGGCCACAAGAUUAGAUUUCU